This 72-nucleotide transfer RNA is filed under the name Ixodes scapularis (black-legged tick). RNAcentral describes it as "tRNA-His". It matches the Rfam family "tRNA". Rfam says of the family: Transfer RNA (tRNA) molecules are approximately 80 nucleotides in length. Their secondary structure includes four short double-helical elements and three loops (D, anti-codon, and T loops). Lineage: Eukaryota; Metazoa; Arthropoda; Arachnida; Ixodida; Ixodidae. The record is from RNAcentral.
UCCGGCGUGGUCUAGUGGCUAGGAUACCUGGCCAUGUCCCAGGAGGCCCGGGUUCGAUUCCCGGCGUCGGAA